UUUGAGAGUUUUGUGAAGCCCUUCUUGAUUAUGUAUGUAGGGAAUAAGGCAAACCAGAAUACCAUGGGAGUCAGUAAAAUGAGAUACGGAGGCAAUUUCUCAUGAAAGGGAUGUUCUUCCUCACUUUUCUCUUUUUUAAGCCAUUCAAUUUGUAUUAAAGUGUCCUGGAAAAUAGUCAUUCACACUAAUGGAGAAUUUUUACAUUUUUCUGCAGUAGUGGUGGGGGUGGUGGAGGAGGCGGCGGCGGUGGAGGUGGAGGUGGUGGCAGACGUCGAGAUUCUUACUAUGAUAGAGGAUAUGAUCGUGGGUAUGACAGAUAUGAAGACUAUGAUUACCGAUACAGAAGACGAUCACCUUCUCCUUAUUAUAGUCGAUAUAGAUCACGAUCAAGAUCUCGUUCCUACAGCCCAAGACGCUAUUGAUAACGGAAUGGUUGCAAUUAAGGACAUUUUUUUUCCUCUUUUUUUUUUUUUUUUUUUUAAUUCUGAGAUUUCCCCAAGCUGUGGAUUCUUCCUACUCCUUAAGAAAAAAACUUUGGUUUAUUUAGCAUCUACACUUUUGUCAGUUGUGUUGCUGUUUUCCACCCAUUUUAUUAUACUCUUAAAAGAUGUAAUUGUUGUCAUUUUGAACAGUUAAACAUCUUGAGUAUAAAAAGAACCCC
Molecule: long non-coding RNA, 661 nt
Filed under: Homo sapiens (human)
Lineage: Eukaryota; Metazoa; Chordata; Mammalia; Primates; Hominidae
Description: non-protein coding lnc-IGF2BP3-2:1
Source: RNAcentral